AUGGAUCGCUCGCCUGACAAGUUCUUCUUGCUCCUUAUGGCAGCAGCGGCGACCUGGAGCUUCUUCCUCGUCGCCAACGCAGGCAGGCUCCAGCCGAGCUGCAUAGGACGCGAGAGGGACGCGUUGCUGGCCUUCAAGCAAGGCAUGAAUGAUACCUACGGCGAACUCGGGUCGUGGCAGCGAGGGCACCAAGAUUGCUGCCAAUGGGCAGGCAUCACAUGCAACAACGUCACCGGCCAUGUCGUCAAGCUGGAGCUUGGCGAAAGAUAUUUGGUCGGCCAGAUAAGUCCUUCCUUGCUUUCUCUAGAGCAUCUCGAGUACCUCGAUCUCAACUGGACGAGACUGUAUGGACCUGAUGGUCGUGUUCCGGUGUUCUUGGGUUCCUUAAAGAACUUGAGGCAUCUUGAUCUGUCCGGCAUGCCUUUCUCUGGUAGGGUGCCUCCUCAGCUUGGCAACCUGUCAAAGCUGGAAUAUCUCGAUCUCUCUGGCAAUUAUUUCACUGGUGCGGUACCUCCUCAGCUUGGCAACCUGUCAAAGCUGGAAUACCUUGACCUAUCCGCCAUAUAUUUCAACAAUACGAGGAUGGUCUCAACUGACAUCUCUUGGUUAACUCGUCUACCUCUGUUGGCGCUUCUUGGUAUGAGUUAUAUCAAUCUCAGCUCAAUAGCCGAUUGGCCUCUUGUUGUCAAUAAGAUUCCAUCUUUGGAGUUGCUCGGUCUUUCCGAGUGCUCGCUUUCAAGUGCAAACCAAUCCCUAGCACACCUAAACCUCACAAAUCUUCACUACCUUGAUCUCUCAGAUAACUACUUUGGUCAUCCAAUUGCAUCCAGUUGGUUUUGGAACAUAACAAGCAUCAAGUACCUCGACCUUUCUGGUACCUCUCUCUAUGGUCCGUUUCCUAAUGCACUAGGAAAUAUGACGUCUCUCCAAGAACUUUAUUUUGGCCCCUAUUCUUCCGAUGGUGACUCACCCACCACAACUGCUAACACGGCCACAAUGACAGUAGACUUGAAAAACCUAUGUGAUUUGGAAUACCUAUUGCUUGAUGGAAGCCUCUCCUCUGGAAACAUAACAGAGUUUAUAGAUAAACUGCCAAGAUGUUCGUCCAACAGAUUGCAGCGUUUGAGGUUGAGCCGCAACAAUAUGGUUGGAAUUCUACCAAACAGAUUGGGGAACUUAACCAACUUAGCUUCGUUGGACCUUUCUCACAAUAACAUUACUGGAGCUAUACCCCUUGGCUUUGGGAAUCUCUCUUGUUUAGAAUACCUUCAUCUUUCUAACAACCUUCUUACUGGAGCUAUACCCCUUGGCUUUGGGAAUCUCUCUUGUUUAGAAUACCUUCAUCUUUCUAACAACCUUCUUACUGGAGCUAUACCGCUAGGGUUGGGAAAUUGCACUGCUGUUUAUCUCUCCAAUAACAAUCUUAGUGGACCUAUACAACUAGGGAUAGAGACUUGCACUAGAUUACAGUACCUUGACCUUUCUUACAAUAGCAUUACUGGACCUAUACCACCAAUGUUGGGGAAUUGCACCGAACUAUAUUACCUUACUCUUUCAAACAACCUUCUUACCGGAGAUAUACCACCAGGGUUGGGGAAUUACACUAGUUUGCAGUCUCUUUCUCUUUCGAGCAACCAUCUUACCGAACCUAUACUGCUAGGGACAACAAGUUGCACUAUAUUAGAAGACCUUGACCUUUCUGAUAACAAUAUUGCUGGAGUUAUACCGCCAUGGUUGGGCAAUUGCACUAGUUUGAGGCACCUUUCUCUUUCUAAGAACCAUAUCACUGGACACUUCCCAUCUAAGAUCAGUCUGCUCGGUAAUUUGACUGGACUCGACCUUGGCUACAAUAACCUAGAUGGCGUGAUCACAGAGGAACACCUUGUUACUCUAAAGAACAUAAACCAUCUGGACUUAUCACACAACUCUUUCUCAGGGCAUCUGCCAUAA
Molecule: ribosomal RNA, 1950 nt
Filed under: Triticum aestivum (bread wheat)
Lineage: Eukaryota; Viridiplantae; Streptophyta; Magnoliopsida; Poales; Poaceae
Description: partial small subunit ribosomal RNA
Source: RNAcentral